GUGAAAAUGCGGGGCUCAACCCCGUAUGGCUCUGGAUACUGGAAGACUUGAGUGCAGGAGAGGAAAGGGGAAUUCCCACGUGUAGCGGUGAAAUGCGUAGAUAUUGGGAGGAACACCAGUGGCGAAGGCGCCUUUCUGGACUGUGUCUGACGCUGAGAUGCGAAAGCCAGGGUAGCGAACGGGAUUAGAUACCCCGGAUAGUCCUGGCCGUAAACGAUGGGUACUAGGUGUAGGAGGUAUCGACCCCUUCUGUGCCGGAGUUAACGCAAUAAGUACCCCGCCUGGGGAGUACGUCCGCAAGGAUGAAACUCAAAGGAAUUGACGGGGGCCCGCACAAGCGGUGGAGUAUGUGGUUUAAUUCGACGCAACGCGAAGAACCUUACCAAGGCUUGACAUUGAGUGACCGCUCUAGAGAUAGAGCUUCUUCUUCGGAAGCACGAAAACAGGUGGUGCAUGGCUGUCGUCAGCUCGUGUCGUGAGAUGUUGGGUUAAGUCCCGCAACGAGCGCAACCCCUAUCCUAUGUUACCAGCGGGUAAUGCCGGGGACUCAUAGGAGACUGCCAAGGACAACUUGGAGGAAGGCGGGGAUGACGUCAAGUCAUCAUGCCCCUUAUGUCUUGGGCUACACACGUACUACAAUGGUCGACAACAGAGGGAAGCGAAGCCGCGAGGCAGAGCAAACCCCAGAAACUCGAUCUCAGUUCGGAUCGCAGGCUGCAACCCGCCUGCGUGAAGUCGGAAUCGCUAGUAAU
Molecule: ribosomal RNA, 752 nt
Filed under: uncultured Bacillota bacterium
Lineage: Bacteria; Bacillati; Bacillota
Description: bacterial SSU rRNA
Rfam family: Bacterial small subunit ribosomal RNA
Source: RNAcentral